UUUGGACUAUGUAUAUGAAACUCAGUUUGUUUAGCUUCUAUUUUCUCUAGCAGCUCUCUACUACUGUUCGUAGUAGUGUUUGAUUUACAGGUAUAGCUGUCGCUUCGUAUACAGGGAAAAUUUCUUUGUAUACGGCGGAUUUGUCGGCGUGUCUGGGGAACGAGACAACCGGGGCGUGACAGAUUAAGUUGGUAUCAGAGCUUUGCUAUAGGUCGUUGGGA
Molecule: long non-coding RNA, 221 nt
Filed under: Ananas comosus (pineapple)
Lineage: Eukaryota; Viridiplantae; Streptophyta; Magnoliopsida; Poales; Bromeliaceae
Description: long non-coding RNA (ACOM_LNC001868)
Source: RNAcentral